RNAcentral lists this ribosomal RNA (415 nucleotides) under uncultured crenarchaeote. Its description in RNAcentral is "partial 16S ribosomal RNA". It matches the Rfam family "Archaeal small subunit ribosomal RNA", at positions 330 to 747 of the family's 1478-position model. Lineage: Archaea; Thermoproteati; Thermoproteota. The record is from RNAcentral.
GCGCAGCAGUCGCGAAAACUCCGCAAUACGCGAAAGCGUGACGGGGCUACCCCGAGUGUCGUCCGCUGAGGACGACUUUUCCACGCUGUAAGGAGGCGUGGGAAUAAGGAGAGGGCAAGUCUGGUGUCAGCCGCCGCGGUAAUACCAGCUCUCCGAGUGGUAGGGACGAUUAUUGGGCUUAAAGCGUCCGUAGCUGGCCUUUCAAGUCUCUUGUUAAAUCCAGCGAUUCAAUCGUUGGACUGCGGGAGAUACUGUUAGGCUAGGGAGCGUGAGAAGCCGACGGUAUUUCCGGGGUAGGGGUAAAAUCCUAUAAUCCCGGGAGGACCACCAGUGGCGAAGGCUGUUGGCUAGAACACGCCCGACGGUGAGGGAUGAAAGCUGGGGGAGCGAACCGGAUUAGAUACCCGUGUAGUCC